Molecule: transfer RNA, 76 nt
Filed under: Phyllobacteriaceae bacterium
Lineage: Bacteria; Pseudomonadati; Pseudomonadota; Alphaproteobacteria; Hyphomicrobiales; Phyllobacteriaceae
Also listed under: 3 other names
Description: tRNA-Lys
Rfam family: tRNA
About the family: Transfer RNA (tRNA) molecules are approximately 80 nucleotides in length. Their secondary structure includes four short double-helical elements and three loops (D, anti-codon, and T loops).
Source: RNAcentral
GGGCGACUAGCUCAGGUGGUAGAGCAGCUGACUCUUAAUCAGCGGGUCGUAGGUUCGAGUCCUACGUCGCCCACCA